AGAACGAUGUAAGGGAAGAAACAAGGAAAAUCAUACAAUAGAAGGUGAUGGAAAGAAUGCCGAUGAUGCCUUGACGUGGAGUGGCGGACCUCAGCUAAAUAUAUCCUGUAUGAUGGUUGAGUCAGACAGUUUUAUUCCUAUCAACUCAAGGGUGAAGUAGAUCUUCAAAACUAAAGGAUGUCCAGUUGUAGAAGCUUGACUCUCAACCAAGGGAGGCUUCGAUGUUAGGUAUAGAGAAUGAAC
RNAcentral lists this long non-coding RNA (243 nucleotides) under Prunus persica (peach). RNAcentral describes it as "long non-coding RNA (PPER_LNC004485)". The record is from RNAcentral. Lineage: Eukaryota; Viridiplantae; Streptophyta; Magnoliopsida; Rosales; Rosaceae.